RNAcentral lists this ribosomal RNA (301 nucleotides) under uncultured bacterium. Its description in RNAcentral is "partial 16S ribosomal RNA". It matches the Rfam family "Bacterial small subunit ribosomal RNA", at positions 509 to 808 of the family's 1533-position model. The record is from RNAcentral.
CAGUAGCCGCGGUAAUACGUAGGUGGCAAGCGUUGUCCGGAAUUAUUGGGCGUAAAGCGCGCGCAGGCGGAUCAGUCAGUCUGUCUUAAAAGUUUGGGGCUUAACCCCGUGAGGGGAUGGAAACUGCUGAUCUAGAGUAUCGGAGAGGAAAGUGGAAUUCCUAGUGUAGCGGUGAAAUGCGUAGAUAUUAGGAAGAACACCAGUGGCGAAGGCGACUUUCUGGACGAAAACUGACGCUGAGGCGCGAAAGCGUGGGGAGCAAACAGGAUUAGAUACCCGGGUAGUCCCUGUCUCUUAUACA